GUUGCUUCUUAUGGUGAACCCUCCCUUUUUGAAUGGGAGAUGUUCAAGUUUCCGAAGCAUAUACAAAUGAUUCUUCACGAAUAGCCAGUUUUAAACAGCGUGGUGCAAUCUGCACCAUGCUACCUGUCUCCUGGUACAUUU
This is a small nucleolar RNA of Lotus japonicus, 141 nucleotides long. RefSeq annotates it as small nucleolar RNA snoR137. The transcript has a single exon. The record is from RefSeq and is a predicted model, not a curated record. NCBI's taxonomy places the organism in Eukaryota, Viridiplantae, Streptophyta, Magnoliopsida, Fabales, Fabaceae.